This is a long non-coding RNA of Ochotona curzoniae (black-lipped pika), 156 nucleotides long. RefSeq lists it as uncharacterized. The transcript has 3 exons. Lineage: Eukaryota; Metazoa; Chordata; Mammalia; Lagomorpha; Ochotonidae. The record is from RefSeq and is a predicted model, not a curated record.
CCCCAGCAGAUGUUUGAUAUCAGCACUGAUCCCAGCCAAGAGGAUCACCUGGCCCAGGCCAUCCUUCAGGGUGCUUCCUUACUGUCUUCCGUGGAUGACGACGGUGCUUUUGAUGCUUCCCUGAACGUCAGGCCCAGCCAUGAACCACCCUGGAUG